UACGUAGGGGGCAAGCGUUGUCCGGAAUCAUUGGGCGUAAAGCGCGUGUAGGCGGCCAGGUAAGUCCGCUCUGAAAGUCCAGGGCUCAACCCUGGAAAGCGGGUGGAUACUGCCGGGCUAGAAUCCGGAAGAGGCGAGUGGAAUUCCUGGUGUAGCGGUGGAAUGCGCACAUAUCAGGAGGAACACCAAUAGCGAAGGCAGCUCGCUGGGACGGUAUUGACGCUAAGGCGCGAAAGCGUGGGGAGCAAACAGG
RNAcentral lists this ribosomal RNA (253 nucleotides) under uncultured bacterium. RNAcentral's name for it is "partial 16S ribosomal RNA". It matches the Rfam family "Bacterial small subunit ribosomal RNA", at positions 524 to 776 of the family's 1533-position model. The record is from RNAcentral.